This is a non-coding RNA of Nicotiana tabacum (common tobacco), 1307 nucleotides long. Lineage: Eukaryota; Viridiplantae; Streptophyta; Magnoliopsida; Solanales; Solanaceae. The record is from RefSeq and is a predicted model, not a curated record.
AAAUGCCCCAUCCCCUUAAUUUAAAUCUGCAGUGUUCUUCUCUUCUAUUUCUCUCUGAUCCAAACACUUGUUCUGUCACAAAAAAGAGACAGAUGCUUAACUUGUCUCUCACAAUUAAUAAUGCCCAAUUCCUUAUCCUUUUGCCCUGACCAGCAAUUCUCUUUAAGUCUUUCAAAUUUAUUCUCUUUAACAUCAUAGCUAGUUCAAGUUCAUUUCUACUUUUAGCACCCACACUACAACCUAAAUAUUUCAAAACAUGUCCAAACAACUAGGAGAAUUCCUCCUAGAACAACAAGAACCUUUUACCUUAGAGCUUUACCUUCUUGAAAGAGGCCACACCCUUAGCUCAAAUGGCGAUUGUAGGUGCUGUUCUGUAAAUUCUACUACUAAAUUCUUGAAGAAAUCAGCCAGUUGUGGUACAAAGAAGAAAAGAAAAGUCAUUCCUAAUUGUUCUAAGAUUGUAAAAUCUGUGUUGAACAAGCUUGUUACCAUUAGCCAUAACCAAAAAAUCAAGAAUUUGGCAAGUGAACAACACAAUAAUGCUACAAUCAAGAAUGGCCAAGGCAAUACUAAUGCAAAUGAUGAUAACUUUUCUUCAGCAAGCAGCACUACUGUGUUCAAUUCUUGUUCAGAUACUAGUGAUGUAGAAGAAGCAGAUAAUUUAUCACCACAAGCUGUAGAUGGAAACUUUCUCAGUGAAAAACAGGUAACAGGUUUGUGAAGACAGAAAGCUAAGACUGGAUUUUCUUGAAGAAAGUAAGCAACUCAGCCCUGUGUCAGUGUUAGAAGAAACUGAAUCUUCUGAUGAGGAAUCCCCAGAUCUUAAAAAACAAGAAUGUGUCAAGCCAAAGAAGUUACAAGUGGAAUUUUCAACCCCAUCAGUUUCUAAAUCAGAGGAAACAAGUCCUGAGUCUCAGUACAUUAAUAGCAAGAAAGCAAUACAACAAUCAAGACAGCUCCUUUUUGACUGUGUGAAGGAAGUGGUAGAGAAUCAGAAAAGGAAAGAUCCUCAAGAAGAAGAAGGAUUUCAAAGAAUGUUAGGAGCUGAGCAACUUUGGGAGCUUCUAUUGGAGAAUAUAAGGUUAUGGAGUCAAGACUCUAUAAAUGAAACUAAUAUUAAAAACUUAAUGCAUUUUGACCUGUUGAAUUCUUUUGAACAGUCAAGUGGAUUUGAGGAGAAAAGGGAAAUAGGUAAGGUGAUUGCUGAUUUAAUUUUUGAUGAUAUUAGCAAUGAAAUUGUAAUAGACAUGUUUAAUUAUUUUACGUCAAGAUAAACUUGAAAAGUUUAGAAAAAAAAGUUAUAAUCA